GACAGAGGGUGCAAACGUUGUUCGGAAUUAUUGGGCGUAAAGCGCAUGUAGGCGGUUUCGCAAGUCGGGUGUGAAAGCCCAGGGCUCAACCCUGGAAGUGCACUCGAUACUACGGAGCUGGAGUCUUGAAGAGGAGAGCGGAAUUCCCGGUGUAGAGGUGAAAUUCGUAGAUAUCGGGAGGAACACCAGUGGCGAAGGCGGCUCUCUGGGCAAUGACUGACGCUGAGAUGCGAAAGCGUGGGGAGCAAACAGG
This 253-nucleotide ribosomal RNA is filed under the name uncultured bacterium. RNAcentral's name for it is "partial 16S ribosomal RNA". It matches the Rfam family "Bacterial small subunit ribosomal RNA", at positions 524 to 776 of the family's 1533-position model. The record is from RNAcentral.